CAAAACUGAUCAUCUAGAACACUUCAUCUGAGUUGAAACACUAUCAAUCAAGCUUCAUAAGAUCUAUUCAACAACUCAUGAAAAAAAGAGAAGACGAUGAAACAUAUGUUCUGUACACACAUGCCUUUCAAAAUAGUUCCCUAAAAAACCUUGUUUCGCAUAACUCUGGCGAUGGCCAAGCCCGGGAGCCUUUAGUCGAUGAGGACCAGACUAAGCUGACACUCCCAUGGUUGCAUACAUCAACCAUGCCCUCCCAAAAUCAGAUCUACUCAUUCUUAAUGACAUUUAUAAUCACAUCUACAUACAUGAAAACAUGAGUAUAAUCAGAAAAUGAAGAGGCUGGUAAAGGGCCACCAAAACAGAGAAGAGGCAUGCCUAAAGCAUAUUCAUGAUAAUGUAAAAAAGAAAUCAGUUAGUAAGCUCAACAAAACAAAUGGUAGUCUAUAACACCAUUACAUAGGGCAAAGGGACAUUAGUUUUCCGGCAUUGUCCAGUGAUGCAGGGAUAAGGGGAACAUGACAAUAAUAUACGUAGAUUCAUAGCCAAAGGUAGACCACCCAAAUAAGGGGAACAUGACAAAGAUGAGACGAUCAACCAACGAACUAACACAACAGCACACAAAGCAAGCACUACAGAGAAGUCCUCAGCUUGAUCAACCAACCAUUGCAUAAAGAAAAUAUAAAAGUAUGACAACUAAACAAAAUAGAAGAAUCUAAGCUUAAGUGGCGAACAAAUAGCUUCUGCACUCACUGCAUAUAGCCAAUUAGCUAUACUAUCAUGUACUAAAAUAAAGAAUAGUUUGUUUGCCUGAAAGCUAUUUUCUGAUAUCCAUCGCAUCAAAUCGAUUUAGGAUUUAACUCCACAAGAACCAAAAGUAUCAGUGUGUGCACAUUUUAGUUAUGUAUCCUAAAAGGCAGUAGGUUUAGAAGUAUCAUAAGAAACCAGAGAAUGAACUUUCCUGCCUCACCUAUCAUCUGGAGAUUAAUAGAAGGCCAAACCGACGCUGCCAAGCAUUUUUAGAAUUGGAUCCCAAACAAAUGGGAAAUGAUGCCUAGAAUGAAAAGGCUGCACAAGGCACACAAGAAUAAUCUAAAGCAGGGUAAUUAAAAAAUUGAAUAUUACCAACACUACUAAGGAAAACCCUAUACACAGAAUCUUAGUAGCAGUGCGGCUCAAAAAGGAGCGCUGCUGCUAAUUAGUAGUAGCGCGGGUGUGGAAAACCCGCUAUUGACAAGUGUUUAGCAGUAGCGCGCUCGGUGUAACCCGUGCUGCUACAAAUAUCGACCGACAAUGCCCACCAAACUCCAUGUAGCAGCAGCGCGGUGCCGCGAGCCGCGCUACUGCUAUAGCUAUACUAGUAGCGCGGUUUUUCUGAGGUCGCUGUUGCUAAUUUUCAAAUUGGGCACACUUUUGGUCCCGGUUAGCAGUAGCGCUUGUGCCAAAAGUGCGCUGCUGCUACUUUCUUAGCAGCAGCAUGUUUUACAUCCCGCGCUACUGCUAAUCCGCACCAACCCACCACCUUUUCCCCACCCAUCGUCCCCCUCCCGCUCCUCCCUUCCCUUUCCCCUACCUCCCACAUCCUCCCACUCUCACUCUUCUUCUUCCUCAAUACUUCUCCCCCAUUACUGUCCCUCUUCUACCUACCUUUCUCUCUCUUCAUUACUCCUACCUAACUACACCACCUCCAUUAAUGCAUCUCCUUUCUCUUUUUCCUUCCCCAUGCACUAGUUGAAGUUGUCUCCUCUCAAAUUAGGUAGCUAGGUAGAUGUAGCAUUUAGUUAAGUGACCUAUUUGCCCCCUAACUAGAUAUAUCUUUGUCAAGAAGAGCUGUGUGCACUUUUGAUCUCCCUACAUCACCAUCUCCACUGUGUGCUCGAUCUCGAGAUAGAGGUGAUUAAAAUUUCAUGCUUUUGCAAAAUGGAAAUAUGUUUAUGUGUGUGUGAUAUGUUUAUGGAAAUUGUGUGUGUGGCAUGAGUUGACGCCAAAUUGUUCUUUUGAGUUGCCUAUGUUUUGCCAAAAUGUCGAUUUAUUUCCGUUUCGGCGAAUUCUGGGCAAACUCCAGAUAUAUAUAUGUCCUAUUUUUAAGGAAGGUCAUGCCGAAUUUUUAUAUGACUUUGAUGCAUGCACGCAUUUUUAUAAUCAACUUUUUUAUUAUUACUGUGUAGAGUUGACGAUGGUCAGUGGAACGAUGGUGGACAGGUGGUUGCGAUCGGCGGUGCAGCACAUGAAAGAAAAUAACUGGACAGAGGUUUUAUGUCCGUGUCAAAAAUGCAAAGGAAUAGUUUGGCUCGACCCCCAUGGCGAUGGUCGUGUCGAAGCGCACCUUCUCAUGACUGGUUUCAUGGAUGGCUAUACACGAUGGAUAAUUGAAGAUGAGGAUGACAAUGUUGAGGAUGCCGACGAGGCAGUCAAUGAUGACACGGGGCAAGACGAAGAGAUGAUCGAUAAUGGCGGCGGGGAAGAGGCCGGACAUGGCGGCGGAGAAGCGACCGGACAUGGUGGAGGAGAAGGGGCCGGACAUGGCGGCGGAGAGAACGACAUGGACUCCACGCAGCAGAGUUCAUCGGUACUAAGUUCAAUCAUGCGGGACCCUCAUGUUCAAGCAUUGCUUCGCAAGGAGACGAGUACUGAGAGAGCUGCUUCUAGAGAGGAGGCUAAGCUGGAGCAACUAGUGAUAGACUCGAACACUCCAUUGUAUGAUGGUUGCAAUCCUGAGGUGACCCGCUUGAGUUUCACGCUCCAACUCCUGAAGACGAAGGCUAAAAACAAAUGGACCGACACUAGCCUGAUGAGCAUCUCAAGUACCUAAAGGAUAUUCUUCCCGCGGGUAAUCUAUGUCCUACUAGUGUUGAUGAGGCCAAGAAGAUCGUGUGCCCUCUUGAUCUGCCACACGUUAGAUACCAUGCAUGCAUCAACGAUUGCAUAAUUUAUUGGAAGGAGCGCACGGAAAAAAACAAGUUGUCCGGUGUGCAAUGCUUCUCGAUACAAGAAGGCCGGGAAGAAAUGUCCCCAGAAAGUUGUAUGGUACUUACCGAUCACUCCCCGUCUCCAGAGGUAUUUUGUAGAUCCCAAGGAAGCAAAGCUAAUGCGCUGGCACGCAGAGAGGAAGAAGCCCAACGAUGGAGAUGAUCCGAAGCCGAGACGCGUCAAGGAUGGAAGCCAGUGGAGAGCGUUGAACAACUUCUAUCGGUAUUUUAAAUGUGAUGCAAGGAACAUCGUGCUCGGCGCGUGUACCGAUGGCAUGAAUCCGUUUGGCAACCAGAACACCAACCAUACCACAUGGACCGUGUUUGUAUGGAUGUACAACCUCCCCCCUGGCUGUGCAUGAACUCGAAGUACAUUCAGAUGAGCAUGCUUAUUCAAGGGACAAAACAACCAGGAAAUACUAUUAAUUUGUAUCUGGGGCUACUUCAAGAGGAGUUAGACACGUUAUGGAAAACACCGGCCAAGACAUGGGACGCCAGCAAAGGCGAGUAUUUCAACAUGAGAGCCGCGCUGAUCACGACAGUGCAGGACUAUCUCGGUUACGGAUAUGGGGCAGGCCAGGUGUGCCAUGGAUAUUGCGGAUGCACGCAGUGCAUGGAUGAUACAACGUCUCAACAGCUAACGUCAAGGAAAGAUGGCGGGUCUGGGAAAAUCAUGUACAUGUGGCAUCGAAGAUGGCUCGAACAGGAUGACCCGUGGAGAAACUGUGGAGAUCUAUUCAAUGGUCACGCUGAGCAUCGAGGACCUCCACGUAAGCAGAGCAGUGCCGAAAUCGAUGAGCUGUUGAAAAACUGGAAGGAGUGCCCCGCGCUGGGGAAGACGAUGAGAAAGGCGCCAGAGCCGCUGCUGAAGGUAUGGAAGAUGAGGUCUGUGUUCUGGGACUUGGAGUACUAGCACAAACUCGAUACACCUCAUUGCCUUGAUCAAAUGCAUAUCUGUAAGAAUGUCCUUAAGAGCUUGCUCGCAACACUGAUGAACUUGCCGGAUAAGACCAAGGACGGGCCGAAGGCAAGAAAAGACUUGCAAGAUUUGAAAAUCAGGGAAGAUCUGCACAUGCCGCCCCGUAAAAUGUCAGACGAGAUAGAGACGGAGAUAGAGACAUGGGAGAAGAAGGGCAAGAAAAUAAAGAAAGAGGAUUAUUGCCCCCCUGCUUGCUUCACCUUAAGUCAGGCUGAGACCGAUCAAUUCUUUAAGUGCCUUACCAGAGUCAAAGUUAGGUCCGGUUACUGUGGCAAGAUAAGCAGAUAUCUAGACACAGACAAGAAAAGGUUCAGAGGGAUGAAGUCCCAUGACUGUCAUGUGAUGAUGACGCAGAUACUACGUGACAUGCUUAUUGGUCUUUGCAACUUUUCGACGUUAUCCCUCGAAAGUCAAUCAGUGUGAAGCAGCUCCGAAGGCUACAGGAAGAGAUCAUUGUGAUACUGAAUGAGCUUGAGAUGUACUUCCCGCCCGCGUUCUUUGACAUGAUGGUGCAUCUGUGUGUCCAUAUUGUGGAUGACAUAAUAGACCUGGGCUGUUAUUCCUGUACAACAUGAUGCCGUUUGAGAGGAUGAAUGGGAUCAUCAAAGGAUUAGUUCGUAACAUGUCCCGUCCGGAUGGAAGCAUCGUCCAGGGCUAUGUGACACAAGAGUGCAUCUCUUUCUGUGAGAAUUUUCUAUAUGGCACGGACCAGCCGCCUGGUGUUAGUGUUGGUUUCUCCGUUAACAAGCACGAUGGGAGGCUCGAAGGAGAAGGUCACUGCAACGGUCGCAGGGAAGUACAUGUGGCAUACUCAGAUCGAUGCAGCGACUUUGACAGAGCAAACAUGGUAGUGCUACAACACCUAGACAAGGUAGAUCCUUUCGUGGCACUGCACAAAGAAAUUAUCACAAAGAAGUAUCGUGACCGGGGGGUAUGCAGGACGGACGCCGAAGUUACUAGAGAGCACAACUCCACUUUCCUGCAUUGGUUCAAAGAGCAUAUUAUUGCUAAUCCCCCGGAGGAGGGCUCUAAGGACGGAUUGCUCAUAUACACCUUAGCACAUGGCCCCUCGCCCAACCUUGUAACCUAGCAGGCAUAUGAUAUCAACGGAUACACGUUCUACACGGAGGCCAAAGAUAUGGACAAUGAUGAUCAUAACUCAGGGGUGAUGAUGGAAUGCAUGACCGGCAGCGACAAGGGCGCAACUGAACGAUUUUAUGGAAGGGUCGAGGAGAUCUGGGAGCUUGACUACUCUGGACUGCACAACACGACGAUGUUCCGUGUCAGAUGGGCUAAGAAUGUCGAAAGACAAAACCGGAUUUUCACUACCAUGACUAUACCCAACACCAAGAGCGCUACCAUGAAUGCUGAGGGAGUCCUGGAUUAGGGGGUAUCCGGACAGCCGGACUGUGUGCAACGUCCAGACUAUUGAAGCGUGAAGAUACAAGACUCAAGACUUCGGCCUGUGUCCGGAUGGGACUCUCCUUUGCGUGGACAGCAAGCUUGGCGAUCCGGAUAUUGUGUUUCCUUUCUUGUAACCGACUCCAUGUAAACCCUAGCCCUCUCCGGCGUCUAUAUAAACUGGAGAGUUGGUCCUUAGAAGGCCAAUCACAAUUACAAUCAUACCAUUAUAGGCUAGCUCUUAGGGUUUAGCCUCUACGAUCUCGUGGUAGAUCUACUCUUGUACUACCCAUAUCAUCAAUAUUAAUCAAGCAGGAUGUAGGGUUUUACCUCCAUCGAUAGGGCCCGAACCUGGGUACACAUCUGUGUCCCUUGCUUCCUGUUACCAUCAGCCUUGACGCACAGAUCGGGACCCCCUACCCGAGAUCCGCCGGUUUUGACACCGACAUUGGUGCUUUCACUGAGAGUUCCUCUGUGAUGUCGCCGCAAGGCUCGAUGGCUCGUCUCAUCGUCAAGGACGACAUUACCUCGGAGGGGGCUCUGGCUGUAGGCCAGACGCUCUGGCUUGGCGGCUUUAUCAUGGCCGCCCCAUCGACGGUGGCACCGACGAGGGCUUCUCGGGUCAUCAAUCAUAACCUUCGCGUUAGUUCAGAACUUGCCGAACAGAUGGAUCCAAUGGAGCUCUCCUCUCUUAACGAACUCUUGGAUCGCAUCGCCGCUCUGGGAGUCACUACAGACUAUGACCGGAUUGGGAUUAAACCCGACCAAAGGGACAUCAGGUCCCCGCUGGCCACCCAUGAGAUAGCGAUAGUGGAGGAACCACACGCGGAUUGCCCCUCAACUUUGAGGACAAAUUAUGUUCGGAUCGCCGAACUCCUUGAGCCGAAGACCAGCUUAAAGGAAAACUUGACCCAGGUCUCGGACUUAGAGUCGGGCAUUGGGCUGAAGAAAUUGGGCAGCACUCCGGAUUCUGAGCUGCUAAGCUCGGAACCGCCCGCACCCCUAGGUGUUAGGUCGGAUCAAAAUCCGGAUUCUGCUAACAGCACCUACCUGGACUUAAACUGUCUCUCCCGCAUCAGGCAAGAGCCCCAGGAAACCAUACAUCGCUACUGGGCCAGAUUCCUCCUUGCGCUUAACAAGGUCAGGGACUGCCGCAAGGAGAACAUGGUCUCACUCUUUUGCAAAAACUGCACGGACGAAGGACUCCUCAAUGCUAUAAGCCGCCGUGACAUAGUAUGCUUCGCGGACUUGGCAAUCAUAGUACGGAAGUACUGUGCAAUGGAGAGCGCUUGGAAGACCCAAACAGAAUUUUGGGAUAGUACUACUCUCACUAAGACCAUUGUCCUAACUAAACGGACAAACUCUCGUAAGUCGUCUGAUCCAAUCCCCAAGAAACCAAAGCCCACCCCAGGGCGGGGAUCCGUAUUGGAAGAAUGGCUCGACGGGCCAUGUAAGCUCCACAGUACUCCGGAUACAACACCAACUCAUAGCCUUAGGGCAUGUUGGAUACUCCGGCAGGUGGCAAAAAGUGGUGAGGAUCUUCUUGUGGGCCAUAAAGCGGAACAACAUCCUACCAGCGAACACAAUACGAUACUAAAAGUCUUCAAGACUUUUGCCUCGAACAAUAGGCGCAAGCGAGCUCGUCGGAGCUCCGCUGGAAUUUACCAUGUGGCAAAAAUAAACCCCUGGAACGACACUGCUAUAACUUUUAAUGCUAGUGAUGAACCUCGAUUCCAGACCAUACGGGCACCAGCCGCUCUUGUCCUUAGCCCGAUCGUAGAUGGCUUUCGGCUCACUAAAGUACUCAUGGACGGCGGAAGUGGAUUAAAUCUGAUUUAUGAAGAAACACUCAGCAAGAUGGAGAUUGAUAAAAGCCGCAUUGAACAAAGCGAUACGACCUUCGGGGGAAUUAUCCCUACUCGAGAAGCGCAGUGUGCGGGCAAAAUCACACUCGAUGUGGUAUUCGGCACCUCGGAGAAUUAUAGGUCAGAAGAAAUCACAUUCCAAGUGGCUCCUUUUAGCAGCGGAUACCACGCCCUUCUAGGGCGGGAUGCAUUUACGAGCUUUCAAGCUAUACCCCAUUAUGGGUACAUGAAGCUUAAAAUGCCCGGACCCAAUGGAAUCAUCACUCUAGCCAGAGAUCCGGACCUUGCACUUUGCGCCAAAAAUAAAACUGAAGCACUAGCCUUGGAAGCAUUAUCUGAAGCCGUAGGAGCAGAAGAGUUAACAACACUUCGGUCCACCGUGGACAGGGACGACGUGAUACUAGACAAGCGACCCAAGUCCACCUCAUUUAAGCCUGCAGACGAGAUAGUCAAAUUCCAGGUCUAUCCAACGGACCCCACAAAGACAGCUUCCAUCGGGACACAGCUGAGCCCCGCGAUGGACGCCGCACUACGAGAUUUCUUACGCGAGAAUUGGGACAUUUUUGCCUGGCACCCAUCGGACAUGCGAGGCAUCCCACGCAGAUUGGCCGAACACAGCCUCAAUAUUCUAAAAGGAUGUAAACCAGUCAAGUAGACUCUGAGGCGAUUCUCCGAGCCCAAACGACAGGCAAUGGGGGAAGAGUUGGCCAAGCUACUCGAGGCCGGAUUCAUCAGAGAUAUUAAACAUCCGGAUUGGCUGGUAAAUUUGGUGAUGGUACCAAAGAAGGACAAAUCCUGGCGCCUAUGCAUCGACUUCAAAGACCUUAACAAGGCUUGCCCCAAGGAUCCCUUUCCCCUCCCUCGCAUCGAUCAAAUCAUCGAUGCCACAGCUGGACACGACUCUCUGUGUUUUCUCGACGCCUACUCUGGAUACCAUCAAAUAAAGAUGGCAGAGUCUGACCAAGCUGCAACAACUUUUAUAAUGCCAUAUGGCCCUUUUUGCUUCAACACUAUGCCCUUCGGUCUCAAGAAUGCCGACGCAACCUAUCAACGCAUGAUUCAAACAUGCCUGGAAAAACAAAUCGGCAAAACAGUGGACGCAUAUGUGGACGACGUGGUCAUAAAAACUAGACACGUUGAAAUCCUGAUAGAUGACUUGAGGCUCACAUUCGAUAACCUCUGGAUAUAUGACAUUAAGUUGAAUCCAGAAAAAUGCGUCUUCGGUGUUCCAUCGGGGAAACUGCUGGGCUUCAUUGUUUCCAAUAGAGGAAUUGAAGCGAACCCGGCAAAAAUACGAGCUCUAUCUCAGUUGGAUAUACCAACAGACCUCAAGCACAUCCAGAAGCUAGUCGGAUGCGUGGCCGCUUUGAGCCGCUUUAUCUCCAGGCUAGGAGAAAAGGCAUUGUCUCUUUACCGCCUCCUUCGGUGCACCGAACACUUAGUAUGGACGGAUGCAGCCGCGGCCGGACUCGAUGAAAUAAAGACCUUACUAGCCAGUACUCCAGUCCUAACAACGCCGAACAUCGACGAGCCUAUGCUAUUGUAUAUAGCGACAACACAUCAAGUUGUAAGCGCAGUACUCGUCAUCGAACGAGAGAUUGACGGAUACAAAUUCCCGCUCCAAAAGCCGGUUUAUUACGUAUCCACAGUCCUCACCCCAUGCAAAUCCCGAUACCCACAUUAUCAAAAAAUAGCAUACGCGGUCUUCAUAGCAUCCCCGAAGCUGCGACACUACUUUCAAGAGUGUUCAAUCACAGUAGCCUCCAAAGUACCACUCAACGACAUAAUAAACAACCGCGACGCUACGGGCCGAAUUGCUAAAUGGGCCAUCGAGCUCCUUCCGUUCAACAUAAUGUACAAACCACGGCGGGCCAUCAAGUCGCAAGUACUGGCUGACUUUGUCGCCGAAUGGACGGAAGCCGAACUCCCUAAGGAGUACGGCGCAUACUCCAACUAGAUCAUGCACUUCGAUGGCUCCAAAAUGCUGGCCGGCUUGGGAGCAGGUGUAGUCCUGACGUCUCCCACCAAAGACACGGUCCAGUACGUCCUCCAAAUACUUUACACAGACUCCAACAAUGCAGCCGAAUAUGAGGCUUUGUUGCAUGGUCUUCAGAUGACGGUCUCUAUGGGCAACCAACGCUUGGAAGUGCGCGGGGAUUCGAACCUCACAAUAUCACAAAUAAACAGACACUUCGACGCCAAGGAUCCAAAAAUGGCGGCCUACCGUAAUGUCAUCCUCAAGAUGUCAGCUCGAUUUGAGGGGCUCGAAUUCCACCAUGUGGCUCAAGAAAACAAUAAAGCGGCGGAUGUCCUUGCCCGCAUCGGCGCCAAACGCGACCCUGUCCCACCUAACAUAUUCCUGGAAAGGCUGUUCAAGCCAUCCGUAGUAUGGGAAGGGGAGUCCGGCAAUACCAGCACGGAUCCGAACACACCCCCAGAUUCCGAGCCAUCAGACACAAUUGGAGGCUCUGCCACCGAAAUAACAUCUUCGGCCCACGAAAUCAUGGCCGUAAUUGCCCCGUGGACUGAGCCUUUCUUGGCCUACUUAAAUAGGCAGGAGCUCCCCUAAGACCAAAACGAAGCACGCUACAUAGUCCGGCGCUCUAAAUAUUACAAGGUCCACGAAGGGGAACUCUAUAAGAAAAGCGCGACGGGAGUACUCCAAAGGUGCAUCUGCGAAGAGGAAGGGUGGCAACUCUUGGCUGAAAUCCAUGCUGGACUGGGCGGACACCACGCCGUGGCUCGAGCGCUAGUCAGCAAGGCCUUCCGUACAGGCUUCAAUUGGCCAACGACCCGAGCAGACGCACAAGACCUUGUCCAACAUUGCGUCGGUUGCCAGCUCUUCGCCAAUCAGAGUCAUAUGCCCCCUACCGCUCUCCAAACAAUCCCCAUAACUUGGCCCUUCGUGGUCUGGGGGCUGGAUAUGGUCGGACCCCUUAAAGGGGGAAGUCAUAAGAAAAAAUACUUAUUGGUCAUGGUGGACAAGUUCACCAAAUGGAUAGAAGCCAAACCAGUUAAAACGGCCGAAUCCGGACCUGUUAUAGACUUCAUAUCCGGGGUCGUACACCGAUACGGUGUCCCCCAUAGCAUCUGCACUGAUAAUGGCUCAAACUUCACAGACGAUGAAGUGAAAACUUGGUGCGGCAAAAUGGGCAUUAAGCUCGACUACGCUUCCGUCUACCACCCACAAACAAACGACCAGGUCGAACGGGCAAACGGUCUCAUUAUGAGCGGCAUCAAACCCAGACUAGUGCGAUCUUUAACAGAAUCGGAUACACAGUGGGUAGAGGAGCUCGACUCCGUACUCUGGGGGCUGCGGACCAUACCGAAUUGUACCACCGGAUAUACAACAUUUUUAUGGUGUACGGUGCGGAAGCAGUACUACCCUACGACAUAAUACAUGAUUCGCCACGCGUACGCAUGUACGAAGAAAAGGAAGCCGAGUUAGAUCGGCUGGAUAACUUGGAUGCCCUAGAGGAGGAGCGCGAUGUCACAAAAGCCCGUUCUGCAUUCUAUCAGCAGCAGGCUCGAUGAUAUCAAAGCAGAGAAGUGCGGGCCAAAACUUACAAUAUUGGCGAGUUCGUUCUACGCCUUCCGGAGAAGAAGAAGAACAAACUCGAACCCAAGUGGGAAGGACCCUUCGUCAUUGACAAAGUUCUCACCGGAGGAGCGUACCGUUUAUGUAAUGCAUACGAUAACAGACUCGAGUCGAACCCAUGGAACGCGGCCAGACUCCGGAGAUUCGACGCCUAACGCCGAACUUAGUGUUCGUCUCCUUACCCCUCCUUUUUAAUUAUGCUCCACCCCUUUGCUCUCCUUUCUCGACCCUUUUUCUCUUCACACAAAGUAUUUAAUAUAGUGCGGACUCCCGGAUCACUCCGGCCGUACUAUGUGUGUAAGCUAUACCUGGGGGCUUCCUAUUCGGAAGCUAGACAUAAUUACUUUAAAUGGCUUUUUUCCCAUCGCAUAUGCGUUCUUUAUCCAUAUGCGCCUUUUCUUCACCAUUAUAUGCAUCGAUAUGACUUAAGAUGUGGCCAAGCUGGGUUGCCUAGCUCUUGUGUUUAUGCCCUACGUUCCCGUUAAUUCGGCUAGGGCAUAAGGGGAGCACCUCUGUGAUUGUUACUGCCGGUUAAGCCGGAUGUGUACCUUAGACUGGGUGAAGCCGAAAGCUAGUUUCCUUAAGAGAAUAUUCGAUCGGUGAACAAAGGAUGUAUUCGUUGGUUACAACAAAAACCCCCAGAAGUUGUGUAUCCCGUGCAUCGUUCGUACUCCGGACAUGUGCAUUGGCGCAUGCGUACCCAGGGAAAGGAACCCCUAACGGAACUAUUCUCCCUGGAAGAUGUUUCUUACUAUCCAUGUAAUAUAACAUAACUAGUUGGGUACUUGUCUAUUCAAGCACUUAUGACCCAUACGCCUGGUCUCCACGUAUACCCCGGUUUUGUAUAACAGAGCGGGUAUUCGGACACACCCCGGACUGUAGGAUCCAGGGGCUGAAACGAAAAGGUCCUCCAUGACAAAUGAUUUUAAUCCGGCUAGGGGCUACUUAUGCCCAUUAAAUUACACAGUCACUUGGACUGACUAUAUUCCUCCUCUAUACCAUCUAACAGGCUAUCUAGCUUACAAUCCUAUUGAGAAUACUUAGCGGCUAAUGCUACCUAGUCAUAUACCAGACUUACCGGAAUUUCUUGCCCAUCGGGCCCCGCCGGUCCUACUUCGGCCAUAUGAUUCGGGUCCAGCUUGGUGUAGGCAUCUUCACCAUUACCCAUGCUUCUCUUGCUCCUUGCCGGCAUGCAGAUAUCUUCCACAGACGGAAGCGCCACCGGGCUCCUUGAAGCAGGUCCGCAAGCUCCCCCAUGCCAUUCGGCAGGAGGCUUGAUGGCCACAAGGCCUGAGCAACGUCAUGCAUCACCUGUCAAGCACGCUCGUGCAACUGCAAAAGUUCUUGCAGCAAAUCACCUGCAGAUGAGGGCAUCUCCUCUUCAGGGCGACCCGUUAACAUUCCUGCAAGCAAAAGUUUUUUCAAAAAAAAAUUCCUCGCCGAACUAUAACACAGUUCGUUUGAGCUCUUACCAUAAAUGCCACGUCGAAGCCUUUUGUUCUCCUUCACGGAGUCCGCCAGUUGAGAACGAACGUCCUUUAAUUCCACGUCCAGACAAAUAUUGGCAUCUUGUAGCUUGUUCUUCUCUUGCGUCGCCAGCGUAAGGAAGCGCUCGCAAGCCUUUAGCUGUCGUUGGAGAUGUGAGUCGUCACCCAUUACGCCCUCCGGAUUCACCCCGGGAUUGUCUGCUGAAUUUUCUGUUAGACUAACCGCACCAGCCAUUUACUAACUGGUACAUCUGCGUAUAAUGGAGACAAAUAUUACAAGAGGGGACUUCCGGGAUCCGUCUAACUUGGCUACCGCAUCAAUCAGCUGGGCCUUGCAUGCAUCAAGCUCCCGAGCCAAUUGUUCGUUCUUGUCCACAAGGAGCUGUGCAUAUAUUGAUCCUUCAAACAGUUGUCCCAACUAUUUCAAGUCUCAGGGGCUACUACUAUACAUACUUGUCAAAACUUUCUUACCUGUAUAUCUUUGGUGCAAUGGUUCGUCGCUUGGGCAAGCCCGCCUCGAGCAGCUCGGACGUAUGCGUCUGCCGAAUUGAAGGCAUUAAAAGCCUCUUUAGAAAAGAUGUUGUUCCGAAGCACGGCCCUCCGGCGCCGGCGAUUCAUGGCGCUCUCCACCUCGGAGUUCGUGGCCGAACACAUAUCCGCGUCCUCUGUCGGAGGACUGCGUGGUUCUGGCCCCGUGUCCGCCUCCGCCCUCGAAGCCGGUUCUGGAACCUGGCUGGUGGAGGCGUGAUUUGUGGGAUUCCCGGAUAUAGUCCGGCUGCUCCUCUUCCUGCCAGACACAAAGGGUGCUGUCAUAUUUCGAAUACUAUAAACUGUAGGACAGGUUAUUACUUUACCUCUGCAACGGUGUGUCAACCCUCACCGCCUUCCUCUUUAGCCUGCCCGAUCCGGACUCCCGUGGUUGACGAGUCCCUAGGAGCUUGGCCCCGCGCUCCGACUGUCGUCUCUGCAAAUAGCACGACGCCUCAAUGGUAAAUCAUAAUCCUGAGGGGAAUCCUCUUUGUAGGAUAAGGUUUUUAGUUCGGCUUACACGCUACGCAGGGAGCAGUCCAGGAUAGUCGGCUGUAAUGGCCACUAAGGCGCCAUCCCAGCUCGCUUGAUGAAAUACCCCAAUGACAAGCUCCAUAGUGAUAUCCAGAUCUUCUUUGAGUCUGGGAUCUAGGGCCCUUCCAGGGUCCUCUGGUUGCGGGGAGGGGCUGAAAACUCCUUCUACAGCCCUCCUCAGUUCCUGCUCAGAAGCAUUGAUGCAAGUAAUCUUAGCAGAAGAACGCUAGAGUAAGUGAAGCAGGGAAAAGAAUGGCAACUUACCCACUCUGGGGGGUUGUACAUGGAGAAUCUGUCUCGCAUUUUUAUGCGAAGGAAUUCCUCCUCUUCCCCUUUGUACAAAUCGGACAGAUCCUUGCCAAAGCGGCAGCGGAGUCCGGACCCUUACGGCCACAGCGGGUGGCGUUGUCUUCCCCGUUGAAAUGCCACAUGGGCUUCUCCCAAUAUUGGAGCGGUUGCACUCCUCGCCUUAUGCAUAUCGCGAUGACCUCAACUAUCGCCAGUCCAGAUUUGGCCAGUAGCUUUAUCCUAUUCAUCAGGAAGUAUAUUUCCCUUGUGUCCUCUUCUUGAGGGCCCCGGGGGCACCAGCUUAGGAGUGCCCUCGACGAGGCAUUGUUGAACUUGGGGAGACCUGUCCGGACUGGAUGUGGGAGGGGAACGUCGUCUAUAUGGAACCACUCUGAGGGCCAGUUUUCUGGUGCCUUCUCAGGAGUGCCGGACAGGUAUCCGGUCUCGGCAAUGCACCAUACUUCGGCCCCACCCACUUGACAGAGGGACUCUCCCUGGGUGCGGGGGACGAGGCAGAACAGCUUCCUCCAUAAUCCGAAGUGUGGUUGGCAGCCUAAAAACAGCUCGCAAAGGGCGAUAUACCCUGCUAUGUGCAGAAUGGAGGCAGGGGUAAGGUUGUGUAACUGGAGGCCGUAGAACUCCAGAAGCCCGCGAAGAAAUGGGUGGAUAGGAAACCCUUCUCCCCUCAGCAGAUGCAGGAUGAGGCAUAUACGCUCCUCUGGAGAUGGGUUAGAAGAUCCCUCAGCUUGUUCCCCUCUGUCAUAAGUGGCUAUUCCAGCUCGGACGGGGACCAUGAACGCCGGUGGGAGAAACCCUUGGGUUUGUAACUCUAUCAAACGGCUAUGAGGAACUGAACACUCUCCCCAAUUACCCGACUUGGAAUGAGAAGGGCGGGCAGAAGAGCUGCGACGCCCGGCCAUGCUGGAAUGGUUUUUCGUGGAGCGCUCUGUUGGAUGCUAGCUCUGUGAGGGAGAGUGAGGUUUGGAUCUGAGAAUCCCCGUCCCUUCAAAUAGACGGUUAGCCCGGAGGAUCGAGGGUGGCAAAUGCAAAAAUGCCUCGACUCCUCACAUUCGCUCGACACGUGGAGAUGGUCAUUACUGAGGCACCGAAGCCGAGGAGCACAACAUUGGUUGGAGGCCGGACACUUCGUUGUAACAGGUACUUUGGAGUAUUCGCAGAUGGAACCCGCCUUGCAAUGCCGAAGAUAAUACUGCGGGAUGGAAUCAUCGUCAUUGAAGCCUGGUUCAGGGGCUUCUGAGCGAGUCCUGGAUUAGGGGGUAUCCAGACAGCCAGACUAUGUGCAACGUCCGGACUAUUGAAGCGUGAAGAUACAAGACUCAAGACUUCGGCCCGUGUCCGGACGGGACUCUCCUUUGCGUGGGCAGCAAGCUUGGCGAUCCGGAUAUUGCGUUUCCUUUCUUGUAACCGACUCCAUGUAAACCCUAGCCCUCUCCGUGUCUAUAUAAACCGGAGAGGUUGGUCCUUAGAAGGCCGAUCACAGUUACAAUCAUACCAUUAUAGGCUAGCUCUUAGGGUUUAGCCUCUAUGAUCUCGUGGUAGAUCUACUCUUGUACUACCCAUAUCAUCAAUAUUAAUCAAGCAGGAAGUAGGGUUUUACCUCCAUCGAGAGGGCCCGAACCUGGGUAAACAUCUGUGUCCCUUGCUUCAUGUUACCAUCAACCUUGACGCACAGAUCGGGACCCCCUACCCGAGAUCUGCCGGUUUUGACACCGACAAACGCUAUCGCAAAAAAUGAGCCAUGGGUACACGCUAAGCACGUGACACAAUUCUUCUUCAUAACCGACCCAUGCAAUCCCAGUCGUGUUGUCGUGAGGAGAGGCAAAAGGAACAUCAUUGGAAUGGAUGGAGUCGCCAACGAGGAAGACUAUGAUCAUUACGGCAACCCAAUGAGGGAAGAUGACGAUGAUGAUGAAGUAUACGUCAAAAGAAGAAUCAAUACUACAUUGCCUAAGAAAAAUCAUACUCCAUGGAAAAGGCAAAGUCACAAUGAGGGGCUCAAUUAUUCUUCGACGAACAAGAAGGGAAAGAAGCUGACUCAAAAACGAAAACGUCAGCGCUGAGGAACCGUAUGUUAUUGAUCAAAUGAUGUAAUAUAUAUAUAUAUAUAUAUAUAUAUAUAUAUAUAUAUAUAUAUAUAUAUAUAUAUAUAUUCCUAUUUUGUAUACACACUUAGCCAUUAUUAUGCAUGGGUCCAAUGAUGUAAUAUAUAUGUUCCUAUUUUGUAUACAUAUUUAACCGUCAAAUGAUGCAAUAUAUAUAGCCUUCCCUUCGUUCAGUGCUCUCGGGAAAUAAAAGUGGGAGAAAAUAAAGGAAAAGAAAAAGGAAAACUGGCAGUAGAGAUUUCUUUAUAAAACCGCUACAGUCAAGCUAGCGGUAGUGACUUCCUUAUAAAACUGCUACAGCUAGUAAAGGUAGUAGCAGAGUGUUUGGUCUAAACCACUACAGCUAGUGAAGCUAGUAGCAGCGCGUUUUGUCUAAACAUGCUACUGCUACGUCCACUUAACCCAAAAUUCUCACUCUCCCUGCUUCAUCCCGCCUCUUUCCCCCCCAAAUCCCCACUCUCUCUUCCCCCAUCGCACCGCCGCGCCCCGGCGCUCACCGCCGACCCGGUCCUCGCCCUCGACCCCGGUGCGCUCGCCCUCGACCCCGGUGCGCUCGCCCCCGACCCAUCGGCCCUCGCCUCCCUCCUCUGCUUCCUCCCCUCCCAACCUCGGCCGUCGUCGGGCCUGCCUCCUCGCCACUGCACCCUCUGUAAAUCCACCCUCCCUCUCUCUCCCUGCUAGCUAGGGUUCUUCGGUUAAUUUACAUAGGUUUUAGUUAGGGCAGUUGGUUAAUUAGGUUAUCUAUUUAGUUAUGAAUUUAGCUAGGUUUUACAAUAGGACAGAAAUUUAGGGUUAAGCAAUUGUAAUUAAAAGAAAAGGCAUCAUUUAAGCAAUUGUCCAAAUCAACAUCCCUUUUUAAAGCAAAUUUAGGUAGGCUGAAUUUAUAUGCAAAUUUGAACGGGACAUGUGAUAUGUGGAUAUGUCAUGUUUUGGACAUGUCAUGUUUGGAAUUUGAACAUGUCAUUUGGACAUGUGAUGUUUUGGUUCAAUUUUGGUAAAUGAUCCGAGUGGCCUAUGUUACGUCGGAAUGUGAUGUCUACAACACAACCUUCUUCUUGUAGACGUUGUUGGGCCUGCAAGUGCACAAGUUUGUAGGACAGUAGCAAAUUUCCCACAAGUGGAUGACCUAAGGUUUAUCAAUCCGUAGGAGGCGUAGGAUGAAGAUGGUCUCUCUCAAACAACCCCACAACCAAAUAAAAAAGAGUCUCUUGUGUCCCCAACACACCCAAUACAAUGGAAAAUUGUAUAGGUGCACUAGUUCGGCGAAGAGAUGGUGAUACAAGUCCAAUAUGGAUGGUAGAUAUGGGUUUUUUCAAUCUGAAAUAAUAAAAACAGCAAGGUAACAAGUGAUAAACGUGAGCGUAAACGGUAUUGCAAUGAUAGGAAACAAGGCCUAGGGUUCAUACUUUCACUAGUGCAAGUUCUCUCAACAAUAAUAACAUAGAUAGAUAAUAUAACAAGCCCUCAACAUGUAACAAAGAGUCACUCCGAAGCCACUAAUAGCGAUAACAAACGUAGAGAUUAUGGUAGGGUACGAAACCACCUCAAAGUUAUUCUUUCGGAUCAAUAUAUAAAAGAUUUCGUACUAGAAUAACACCUUAAGACACAAAUCAACCAAAACCCUAAUGUCACCUAGAUACUCCAUUGUCACCUCAAGUAUCCGUGGGCAUGAUUAUACGAUAUGCAUCACACAAUCUCAGAUUCAUCCAACCAACAUAAAAGUACUUCAAAGAGUGCCCCAAAGUUUCUACCGGAGAGUCAAGAACGUGUGCCAACCCCUAUGCAUAGGUUCCCAAUGUCACGAAACCCGCAAGUUGAUCACCAAAACAUACAUCAAGUGGCACAUGAUAUCCCAUUGUCACCACAGAUAAUCACGACAAGACAUACAUCAAGUGUUCUCAUAAAAGACUCAAUCCGAUAAGAUAACUUCAAAGGGGAAACUCAAUUCAUCACAAGAGAGUAGAGGGGGAGAAACAUCAUAAGAUCCAACUACAAUAGCAAAGCUCAGGAUACAUCAAGAUCGUGCCAUAGAGGGAACACGAGAGAGAACACGAGAGAGAGAGAGAUCAAACACAUAGCUACUGGUACAUACCGUCAGCCCCGAGGGUGAACUACUCCCUCCUCGUCAUGGAUAGCGCCGGGAUGAUGAAGAUGGCCACCGGUGAUGGGAUCCCCUUCCGGCAGGGUGCUGGAACAGGCUCCCGAGAGGUUUUUGGUGGGUAUAGAGGCUUGCGGCGGCGGAACUCCCGAUCUAUCUUCUGUUUUGGAAGUUUUAGGGUACGUAGGUAUAUAUGGGUGCAGGGGGUACGUCAGUGGACCUCCGGGGUGCUCACGAGGUAGGGUGGCGCGCCCAGGGGGGCACCCUCGUGGGCAGCCCGGGACUCCCCUGACAUGCACUCCAAGCCCAUCAGGUUGGUUUCCUUCCAAAAUUAACUUGUCCAGUUGAUUUCGUUUUGUUUUGACUCCGUCUGAUAUUCCUUUUCCUCGAAACACUGUAAUAGGCAUAAAACAGCAAAUCUGGGCUAGGCCUCCGGUUAAUAGGCUAGUCCCAAAAAUAAUAUAAAAGUGGAUAAUAAAGCCCAAUAUUGCCUAAAACAGUAGAUAAUGUAGCAUGGAGCAAUUAAAAAUUAUAGAUACGUUGGAGAAGUAUCAAGCAUCCCCAAGCUUAAUUCCUGCUCGUCCUCGAGUAGGUAAAUGAUAAAAAAGAAUUUUUGAUGCGGAGUGAUACUUUGGCAUAAUUUCAAUGUAAAUCUUCUUACUUGUGAUAUGAAUAUUCAGAUCCGAAAGAUUCAAGACAAAAGUUCAUAUUGACACAAAAAUAAUAAUACUUCAAGCAUACUAAUCAAAACAAUCAUGUCUUCUCAAAAUAGCAUGGCAAAAGAAAGUUCAUCCCUACAAAAUCAUAUAGUUAGGCUAUGCUUCAUUUUCGUCACACAAAGAUGUUCCCAACUUCUAUACCCCCGAUGGCAAGCCAAGCAAUUGUUUCAUACUUAAAUAAUCUCAAACUUUUUCAACCUUCACGCAAUACAUGAGCGCGAGCCAUGGAUAUAGCACUAUGGGUGGAAUAGAAUAUGAUGAUGGGGAUUGUGUGGAGAAGACAAAAAAGGAGAAAGUCUCACAUUGACGAGGAUAAUCAACGAGCUAUGGAGAUGCCCAUUAAUUGAUGUCAACAUGAGGAGUAGGGAUUGCCAUGCAAUGGAUGCACUAGAGCUAUGAAUGCUCAACAAAAGAAAACUAGUGGGUGUGCAUCCAACUCCCUUGCUCACAGAGACCUAGGGCAUUUGAGGAAGCCCAUCGUAGGAUUAUACAAGCCAAGUUCUAUAAUGAAAAAUUCCCACUAGUAUAAAAAGGACAACUUAUGAGACUCACUACAUGAGGAACAAGGUGCUACUUUGAAGCACAAUUUAUGAGACUCACUACGUGAAGAACAAGGUGCUACUUUGAAGCACAAGUGUGGAAAAGAGAUAGUAGCAUUGCCCUUUUUUAUAUAUAUAUUUUUGGGCCUUCCUUUUUUUAUAUAUUUUGGUCUUUCUCUUUUUUUGGGCACUCCUCUAAUAAUGAUGAUCAUCACACUUCUAUUGAUUACAACAUAAGGAUUACGACUCGAAACUUAGAACAAGAUAUGACUCUAUAUGAAUGCCUCUGGUGGUGUACCGAGAUGGUGCAAUGAAUCAAGAGUGACAUGUAUGAAAAUAAUGCAUGGUGGCUUUGCCACAAAUACGAUGUCGACUACAUGAUCAUGCAAUGGUAAUAUGACAAAAUUAAUGUAUGUCAUGAUGAUGAUGAUGGAAGUUGCAUGGCAAUAUAUCUCGGAAUGGCUAUUGGAAUGCCAUGAUAGGUAGGUAUGGUGACUGUUUUGAGGAAGAUAUAAGGAGGCUAAUGUGUGAUAGAGCGUAUCGUAUCACGGGGUUUGGAUGCACCGGCAAAGUUUGCACCAACUCUCAAGGUGAGAAAGGGCAAUGCACGGUACCGAAGAGGCUGGCAAAGGCGGAAAGGCCAGAGUGCGUAUAAUCCAUGGACACAACAUUAGUCAAAAGAACUCAUAUUCUGAUUGCAAAAAAUUUAGAAGUCAUCAAAAAUCAAGUACUACGCGCAUGCUCCUAGGGGGAUAGAUUGGUAGGAAAAGACCAUCGCUCGUCCCCGACCGCCACUCAUAAGAAUGCACAAGACAGGUACACUUCAUGUUUCAAAUUUGUUACACAACUUUAACCAUACAUGCAUGCUACGGGACUUGCAAACUUCAACACAAGCAUUUCUCAAAUUCACAAUCACUCAACUAGCACGACUUUGAUAUUAUCACCUCCAUAUCUCAGAACAAUUAUCAAGCAUCAAACUUAUCUUAGUAUUCAAUUCACUCAAAAGAAAGUUUCACAUAUCUUGAAUACCAAGUAUAUUAACAUUAAGAAAAUUACCAUGCUAUUUAAGACUCUCAAAAUAAUAUAAGUGAAGUAUGAGAGUUCAUCUAUUUCUUCAAAAUAAAACUACCACCAUGCUCUAAAAGAUAUAAGUGAUGCACUAGAGCAAAUGACAAACUACUCCGAAAGAUAUAAGUGAAGAUCAAUGAGUAGCCGAAUAAUUAUGCAACUAUGCGAAGACUCUAUCUAAUUUAAUAAUUUCAGAUGUUGAUACUUUAUUCAAACAGCAAGCAAAGCUAAAGAAAACUACAUUGCAAGGAUAGCACAACUCAUGUGAAGAAGCAAAAACUUAGGCUCAACCGAUACUAACUGAUAGUUGUUGAAGAAGAAAGGUGGGAUGCCUACCGGGGCAUCCCCAACCUUAGAUGCUUGAGAUUUAUUGAAAUAUUAUCUUGGGGUUCCUUGGGAAUCCUCAAGCUUGAACUUUUUUGUCUCCUUAAUUCCUUUCAUAUCAUGGUUUCUCUUUUUAUGAAAAGCUUCAUUCACAACAAACUCAACAAGAACUCGUGAGAUAGGUUAGUAUAAACCAAUGCAAAACCUUAUCAUUUUCUACUAUAACAAAUCACUAACAUUAUUAUUCAACAUUUAAUACUAAAUUCCUCUGCAUAUUUAAUACUCCUAUCUUCAAAUAGAAUCUUUAAACAAGCAAACAUAUGCAAACAAUGCAAACAUCACAGCAAUCUGUCAAAACAGUACAGUCUGUAAAGAAUGCAAGAGUAUCAAUACUUCCCUAACCCCAAAAAUUAUGAACUAAAAUUCCCACUGUAAUAAAUUUAUCAGAGCUCAAUAUGCAAAAAGAUUCAACAUUAUACCACUCUCUGACUUUUCUAGGGAAUUUUUGCAACAGCGGUAAACUUUCGGUUAUCAAACAGCAACAUGUAUACUAGCAAAAUAAGCAUGGCAAAGGCUAUCCUUGACUUCUUUAUUGAAACUAAAGAUGUAAAAAAUUAUUCUAAAUUACAGAAAGCUAAUACUAACAAAAUAAAAUGACGCUCUAGGCAAAACACAUAUCAUGUGGUGAAUAAAAAUAUAGCUCCAAGUAAAGUUACCGAUGGUACGAAGACAAAAGAGGGGAUGCCUUCCGGGGCAUCCCCAAGCUUAGGCUCUUGGUUGUCCUUGAAUAUUACCUUGGGCUGCCUUGGGCAUCUCCAAGAUUAGGCUCUUGCCACUCCUUAUUCCAUAGUCCAUCGAAUCUUUACCCAAAACUUGAAAACUUCACAACACAAAACUCAACAGGAAAUCUUAUAAGCUCCGUUAGUGAAAGAAAACAAAACCACCACAUUGGUACUGUAAUUAACUCAUUAAAUUCAUAUUGGUGUAAUAUCUACUGUACUCCAACUUAUCUAUGGUUCAUACCCUCCGAUACUACUCAUAGAUUCAUCAAAAUAAGCAAACAACACAUAGAAAACAGAAUCUGUCAAAAACAGAACAGUCUGUAAUAAUCUGUAUCAAACGUAUACUUCUGGAGCUCCAACAAUCCUACCAAAUUACGAAGUCCUAAGCAAUUCGUGUACCAAUACAUAGAAAAAAUAAUAAGAUCAGAAGCACAUUUCUGUGAAUUAACAAAACUAAUUUACUGGGUGCAAAAGUUUCUGAUUUUCAGCAGGAUCAACGCAACUAUCACCGUAAGCUAUCCUAAAGGUCUUUCUUGGCACUUUAUUGAAACAAAAGCUAUAAAACAUGAUUACUACAGUAGCAUAAUCAUGUGAACACACAAAAACAGUAAGGAUAAAUAUUGGGUUGUCUCCCAACAAGCGCUUUUCUUUAAUGCCUUUCUAGCUAGGCAUGAUGAUGACAAUGAUGCUCACAUAAAAUAUAAGAAUUGGAACAUAACGGGAGCAUCAUGAAGCAUAUGACUAGCACAUUUAAGUCUAACCCACUUCCUAUGCAUAGGGAUUUUGUGAGAAAACAACUUAUGGGAACAAUAAUCAACUUGCAUAGGAAGGUAAAGCAAGUAUAACUUCAAGAUUUUAAGCACAUAGAGAGGAAACUUGACAUUAUUGCAACUCCUACAAGCAUAUGUUCCUCCCUCAUAAUAAUUUUCAGUAGAAUCAUGAAUGAAUUCAACAAUAUAACAGCACCUAAAGCAUUCUUUUCAUGACCUACAAGCAUAGAAAAUUUACUACUCUCCACAUAAGCAAAAUUCUUCUCAUGAAUAGUAGUGGGAGCAAACUCAACAAAAUAACUAUCAUGUGAUUGAAAAUUAAGAUCAAGAUGACACGUUUCAUGGUUAUUAUUAUUAUUUAAAGCAUACAUGUCAUCACAAUAAUCAUCAUAGAUAGGAGGCAUGCUUUCAUCAUAGUAAAUUUGCUCAUCAGAGCUUGGGGGACAAAAAAUAUCAUCUUCAUCAAACAUAGCUUCCCCAAGCUUGUGGCUUUGCAUAUCAUUAGCAUCAUGGAUAUUCAAGGAAUUCAUACUAACAACAUUGCAAUCAUGCUCAUCAUUCACAUAUUUCAUGCCAAACAUUCUAUGUAAUUGUUCUUCUAGCACUUGAGCACAAUUUUCAUUUCCAUCAUACUCACGAAAGAUAUUAUAAAGACGAAGCGUAUGAAACAAAAUUAACUCCAUUUUUUUAGUUUUCUUUUAUAAACUAAACUAGUGCUAAAACAAGAAACAAAAAGAUUCGAUUGCAAGAUCUAAAGAUAUACCUUCACUUACCUAGCCUCCCCGGCAACGGCGCUGGAAAAGAGCUUGAUGUCUACUACACAACCUUCUUCUUGUAGACGUUGUUGGGCCUGCAAGUGCACAGUUUUGUAGGACAGUAGCAAAUUUCCCUCAAGUGGAUGACCUAAGGUUUAUCAAUCCGUAGGAGGCGUAGGAUGAAGAUGGUCUCUCAAACAACCCUGCAACCAAAUAACCAAGAGUCUCUUGUGUCCCCAACACACCCAAUACAAUGGCAAAUUGUAUAGGUGCACUAGUUCGGCGAAGAGAUGGUGAUACAAGUGCAAUAUGGAUGGUAGAUAUGGGUUUUUGUAAUCUGAAAUAAUAAAAACAGCAAGGUAACAAGUGAUAAACAUGAGCUUAAAUGGUAUUGCAAUGAUAGGAAACAAGGCCUAGUGUUCAUACUUUCACUAGCGCAAGUUCUCUCAACAAUAAUAACCUAGAUAGAUAAUAUAACAAGCCCUCAACAUGCAACAAAGAGUCACUCCGAAGCCACUAAUAGCGGAGAACAAACGUAGAGAUUAUGGUAGGGUACGAAACCACCUCAAAGUUAUUCUUUUGGAUCAAUCUAUAAAAGAGUUCGUACUAGAAUAACACCUUAAGACACAAAUCAACCAAAACCCAAAUGUCACCUAGAUACUCCAUUGUCACCUCAAGUAUCCGUGGGCAUGAUUAUAUGAUAUGCAUCACACAAUCUCAGAUUCAUCCAACCUACAUAAAAGUACUUCAAAGAGUGCCCCAAAGUUUCUACCGGAGAGUCAAGAACGUGUGCCAACCCCUAUGCAUAGGUUCCCAAUGUCACGAAACCCGCAAGUAGAUCACCAAAACAUACAUCCAGUGGCACAUGAUAUCCCAUUGUCACCACAGAUAAUCACGACAAUACAUACAUCAAGUGUUCUCAUAAAAGACUCAAUCCGAUAAGAUAACUUCAAAGGGGAAACUCAAUUUAUCACAAGAGAGUAGAGGGGGAGAAACAUCAUAAGAUCCAACUACAAUAGCAAAGCUCGGGAUACAUCAAGAUCGUGCCAUAGAGGGAACAUGAGAGAGAACACGAGAGAGAGAGAGAGAUCAAACACAUAGCUACUGGUACAUACCGUCAGCCCCGAGGGUGAACAACUCCCUCCUCAUCAUGGAUAGCACCGGGAUGAUAAAGAUGGCCACCAGUGAUGGGAUCCCCCUCCAGAAGGGUGCCGGAACGGGAUCCCGAGAGGUUUUUGGUGGCUACAGAGGCUUGCGGCGGCGGAACUCCCGAUCUAUCUUCUGUUCUAGAAGUUUUAGGGUACGUAUGUAUAUAUGGGUGCAGGGGGUACGUCGGUGGACCUCCGGGGUGCUCACGAGGUAGGGGGGCGCGCCCAGGGGGGUCGCGCCCCCCACCCUCGUGGACAGCCCGGGACUCCCAUGAUGUGCACUCCAAGCCCAUGAGGUUGGUUUCCUUCCAAAAUUAACUUCUCCAGUUGAUUUCGUUCCGUUUUGACUCCCUCUGAUAUUCCUUUUCCUCGAAACACUGAAAUAGGCAUAAAACAACAAAUCUAGGCUGGGCCACCGGUUAAUAGGUUAGUCCCAAAAAUAAUAUAAAAGUGGAUAAUAAAUCCCAAUAUUGCCUAAAACAGUAGAUAGAGUAGCAUGGAGCAAUCAAAAAUUAUAGAUACGUUGGAGACGUAUCAGAAUGUUGAUUCAUUUCUGUUCCGGUGAAUUGCAGGCGCUCGAUAUGUCCAUUUUUUAGCAAAGGUCAUGUAGAAAUUUACCGUGAAUAAAGGCAUGAUUUGUGCUACAUAGUUGGCAUAUCGAGUGCUGGCACAUAGAUUUCUUUUUUAUGUCAUUUCUCAUUUAUUCAUACUUUUAGAAAUAAACGAGGACACUUAAUCAUAGGAAACAUGUUGAACAAUGAAGAAACUGGGCCUUCUAACCAAGAUGCAGACGAGAUGGAUUAUGAGGGUGAACAAGAGUACCUCAACUAUUUGACUGCUAAGCAAGGUUUGCAGGUCGGCCUCGAUGAUGGUACUGACGCCGACAUCGACACCGACGGUGCCGGCACCGAUGGCGGCGCCGAGACCGGCGGGGAAGGUACCGGCGCCGAUGCCACUACCGAAAAGAGGAAGCAUAAGAAGCAGAGGAUACGAAAGCCUAACAAACUAGGGAUUGGACGACUUGUGAUCACAAAGAUGGCACCUGGCAAGUUUGAGCCAUUAGAGCCGGAAGAACCUCGCAAGUGCUAUGGGAACCAAGUAGGAUGCAUCCUACGGGAAUGCGCGAGCAUCAACAACGAUGACUUAAGGAGUAAAGAACAUUUGACGCAGUUGCUCCUAACAAAGUUGCACAAGAGAUUCAAGUUCCCCGACUGGGAUGAUAACAUAGAACAACCAUGGGAUGAUCCGAAGAUGAAAAAGAUUAACAAUAACGCCAUGGGCAUGUUCAGCAAUGAUUUGGCCUCCUGGAAAGGGAGGGUGAAAUGACCUAUUGAGGCUGAGGAACCCCUGUCCGAGAUUCUGGAGGAAAAUCCGACACUUACGGAAGAGGAGUUCAAAAAGUUCAUGGACACUUACGCUACUGAGGCAGCCAAGGCUAAGGCUGCGAAAUUCAAGAGCCUUCAGCAAAGGAACACGGGGAAGCAUCACCUCGGAAGCCGUGGCUACCUCGGUAAAAGGCCCAUAUGGGAUAAGGAGGACGCGGAACGUGAAGCCGCGGGUCUCCCAGACCCCUUUGCGAAGUUCACCAACCCCUUGGAGCGUGACUUCAUCAGGGCCCGCUACAAGUGGGACAAGGAGAAAAAGGUUUUUUACAUGGACCAGAUCACGAGGAAAUUGAUUAGACUACUAGAGAAGCAUCACCAGCUUGCAGCCGAAAGCCCUACUUCUCCGAUGAGGCCCAAGUGGGACACCCCUCUCAACCGGGCCUUGAACGAACUUAAGGGACUCCCUUUGGGCCAGCGGCCGCAAUAUGGUCGUGUGCACGGAGCUGGAGACGGCGCCAUGUGGAAGGUGUCUUACAACGAGGGCCCGGAGGCCAAGAAGCAGAAAAAGAAGUUUCGUCAGGCGGACAUCAACGCGAAGGUGAAGCUUGUGGUCGAGAAAAAAGCAGUUGAGGACGCGGAAAAACAGCUGAGGAGAAAAACGAGUUGCUACAGCAGGCAGUCAAUGCGGCUGUAACUGCCUGCAGAAAUGAUUUCUCUACUAACAUGGUUCCAGCUAUCAUCAACUGGACGAAGGAAAAUCCAGACAAGAUGGUACAUGAUUUCCCAAUGCCCAGUUUCGUCGGGAGCAAUUCCAUGAACAACAACAACACCGCACCAUCACUUGCUCACGCAACCGGGCCCCCUCUCGCGGUCGCUCCCGCUCAUAGCAGCCCGUCCUCAGUCUCUGGCGUGCUAGGUGGGCCUUCGUCUUUGGCUGAGCUCGACGCCGUCACGAUAAUUACAUGUCGCACCAACAUAUAUAUAUAUAUAGAAUAUUCCAUUUUCGUUGCCUUUUGGAUGUUUUACGCCAUAGACAUAUGUGUUUGCAGGGCGAAGAAACCCCGUGCACCAUACUCUACUUGAUAAAAGGCCAGAAGGUCGACGUGGGAAAGGGGAUGAUAUUCAACCCCUUGAAACACGUUCCACAACCAGCCGAUCCCCGCUGGGCACAUCAGGGUUAGCUUGUCCAGUGUGAAAUCGGGGCAUGAGGUGUUGCCUCCUCCAGUACAGCAUGUGGGAGAGGAUGAUGAGACCCCGCCACGGAUUGGAAGCUGCAAGGGUUGGGUGCUGCUAUGGCCGAAGAAUCUUAUUCAUCUGGAGCCGGCCAAGAGCACACCAAUAACCACACAUCAACAAGCAUGUCCGGAGACCACCACCCCGCCUACGCAAUUACCAGCUCCUGUAGUGCCGAGUGAGAGCGGCGGACGACGUGAUGAAGGGGGUGCAAUAGUACUAGCUGAUGUAAUAGGUCCUGUAGAACAGAGAAUGGAUGAUGAGACGGAGGUCGACCCUAUGAGUUUCCUCAAUACAAACGCGUAUGACUGUGACAUAGAUAUGAUGAGUCAACCAUAUGACGAAUCGGGAUAUCAGCAUGCUAAUGAGGAUAUGGAUGAUAUGCCUGGGCGUUGGAAGGAUUGCAAAAAGUCUCUCUUCAUGAAUUCCUCACAGGACACGCCUGAAGAUGUCGCCUCAACAGAGGCUCAACUAGACGGGGGUCGUACAAUGCUUAGCCCGGGAACCCUAGGGCAGGGGUUAAGGAAGGGUAUGGAAGGUGUGCCCCAGAAAAAGGAGAGGAAGAGAUCGGGGAAGAUAACUGCCUCCAAACAAGCCAGAGCACAAACCAGCCAGACGAUGCAUUCUGAAGAGCGUGUACCCGUGAAAGGUACGGCCAUGUUCCAUCUCACGGGCGAUCCAAUGCUACCGCCGAAACCGCUGGAGGCACUAUCAGGGGAUCUCAGGAGACUGCACAACCAUGUGCUGUCGACUAAGAAAAGCCUACUAGCCUCAAAGGAUCCAGGAUAUCCGACAUACGUGGCUCGUGUGCCUGAGGGGAAGUGCUACGUCGAGACAUGACCCGCGGAGGUGUUCUUCCUGCGGUUUGACCAUAUCUUUGAGAUGUUUCUGAUAAGGCGACUUGAUUUUACAAUUGUCCGCCUUUUUGCGCUAUAUAUGAGCUCCGUCAUGAAGAGUGAAGAAGUCUCGUAAAUCUGUGUGGCGGAUCCGUACUACAUUCAUGAGUCUUUCUUGAUUAUCGGCGACUUUGAGCGUGAAACUGCUAGGGAGUACCUCCAAAACAUCAUGGUAUAGAAUAAGGACCGGGAAAUUGUCCUCGUGCCUUAUCAUCCAAAGUAAGUCAGUUCCGGACAACCCUUUCGUACAUUUCAAUCAUUCCUUCUCUCUCAUAUGGGGAAUAAUUUGAGGUGUCUUUUCGCCGCAGCAAUGGGCGUGCCGUCCUUAUUGUCCUUUACCUGCAAGUCUCCCAUGCUGUGUAUUUUGACCCUUCCAGAGACUACGAGAAAAAAGACUACACCCACAUAAUGAAUAUAUAGAUGAUGCUCUCCAAGGCUUCAUCAUUAGAGGUGGCCACAUGCAGAUCAGGAAACAAAGGAACAAGAAUAUGGGUUUCAUGCAUAAAACUAACUUCUCCUGCAUCCAUGUCCCAAAACCAAGCAAGAAGCAUGGAUUCUACAUCUUCCAUCUCAUGAUUUAGUUCAACAGGAUCACCAAAAGCUUCGCAUGAGAUGACUUCUUUCGCAUCCAAAGGGACAUUGCGACGAUCAUCAUGAAAGAAGUCAUCGAUGAGAAGGGGAUGUUCCACCACGGCCCUAUAUCGCGAGCUGACGUCCGAACUCACAUAGGCAUGCAACGUCUAGACCUCACACCAUUCAAGAAGCUAGGGUGCAUCCUCGAUGAUAUGGAAGGAUGGAACUUCUAGUGAUUUAUGAUGCCGAUGAUGAUGAUAUGUGUCGGUUGAACUUGUAUACUUUUUGUAGCGAUGAAACUUUGUGAUGUCCACCAUCCCUGCCAAACUUGCGUAACGCUACUUUGUUAGUUUGCGUACCAUGACCUGCGUACCUCUAGUUAAUUAGUUUGCAUACUGUAUGUUGCAUCUAGUUGCUAACCCUUUCUUUUUUGGUGUUGCUCUAGUAUAUUUUGUUGCAUAUAUAUGAUUGUACAUCCUCUUCAUGAACAUGCAUCUCUAACAGGUACCUAGUUUCUUGAUGGCGAGAUGGAAGUGCUAUGUCGUGUACAAAGGGAAGGUUCCGGGGGUGUACAAUGAGUGGCCUGAGUGUCAGGCGCAAGUGAAUGGGUUCUCGGGCGCCAACCAUAAAGGCUUCAAAAGCAGACAAGAAGGAGAAGCUAGUUACUUGAGGUUCACGCUAGCGCGAGAGAGGACUCGUAACCGACGCCUCAUGUACUGCAUAGUUCCGCUCUCACUCAUAGUGAUAGCUCUUCUCGCGUAUACCUUUGUUUAGAUGGAUGACGUUGUUGUUGCAAGUAUUCGAGACUUGCAUGUAUCGCUAUUUUCGAGAUUAUGACAAGAUACCACUUUGUGUUGGAUGAUGAUUAUGAUGAGACAAUUUGUAUGUAUAUGCUAUGAUUACAUUUGUGGUCUCGCAGGCAUUUGUAUGUGUAUCAUGAUGACAUUUGUAUGUGCUAAAGAUUCUUCUAUAAAGCCUGUUCAAAUACAAAACAAAUAUGCAUAAAAAUAUAUUAAAAUUAGCAGUAGCGAGUGGAGAAAAGUUAGCAGCAGCGCGGUAGUAUCAGUAGCGUGCACAGGCGAAGCACGCUAUAGCUAUUAGCAGUAGCGAGCUCCAUAGAAGAACGCUGCUGCUACGCUUGUAUAUCAGUAGCGCGGGCGCGCACGCGUUGCUGCUAAGGGUUAGCUGUAGCGCCUUAUUAGUAGCGCCGCCUCCCGUGCUACUGAUAUACCUAAAACCCGCGCUGCUGCUAGGCUUUUCCCUAGUAGUGCAAGCCUACUACAAAGCAGGAUGCUCAACUCACUCAUAUCUUUUGAGGAACACUUUUGCACAUCAAAAAUUCAGAUGCAUACAAAUAGAGCCAAUAAAUCUAGAUAAUGUAAUCUGGAUCACCCAGAAUUAGCUGAGCUAUUCAUACCCAAAAGUAGGCGAAGGAAGCUACAUUUCUGUAGUUAGACUUAUAGUUGGAUAAGCACCCUUGCAUGCGGUAUGAUGUCGUCAUGAACGAAUCUAUGAAACUGAAAAGACAUUGUUGUGUACUAAUUUUGGCUCCUCGGAAGCUAGUACAAAAGAAGAGGAUCCAAUUGAAUAUUGUUCUUAUCUUCCUAGAAAAGAAAAGGUAAAAAACUGAUUCAGAGCUGAUUGCAGGUAGGUAAAUCAUCUAUUCACCUUGAUUAACCCACCAGUUUAUAUACUUAAUCCUCGAUUUUAUCCUGUCUAGUAGGUUUGCAGUAGACGUUAGUAUAGGUUACUCAACCUGAGAGCCACAUAUGUGACAAGGCG
RNAcentral lists this long non-coding RNA (29781 nucleotides) under Triticum aestivum (bread wheat). RNAcentral describes it as "long non-coding RNA (TAES_LNC022361)". Lineage: Eukaryota; Viridiplantae; Streptophyta; Magnoliopsida; Poales; Poaceae. The record is from RNAcentral.